RNAcentral lists this unclassified non-coding RNA (343 nucleotides) under soil metagenome. Its description in RNAcentral is "partial contains 5.8S ribosomal RNA, internal transcribed spacer 2, and large subunit ribosomal RNA". The stretch from base 1 to 120 matches the Rfam family "5.8S ribosomal RNA", at positions 35 to 154 of the family's 154-position model. The record is from RNAcentral.
GAUGAAGAACGUAGCGAAAUGCGAUAAGUAAUGUGAAUUGCAGAAUUCAGUGAAUCAUCGAAUCUUUGAACGCACAUUGCGCCCGCUAGUAUUCUGGCGGGCAUGCCUGUCCGAGCGUCAUUUCAACCCUCAAGCCCCCGGGCUUGGUGUUGGGGAUCGGCGAGCCUCCGCGCCCGCCGUCCCCUAAAUCUAGUGGCGGUCUCGCUGUAGCUUCCUCUGCGUAGUAGCACACCUCGCACUGGGAAACAGCGUGGCCACGCCGUUAAACCCCCAACUUCUGAACGUUUGACCUCGGAUCAGGUAGGAAUACCCGCUGAACUUAAGCAUAUCAAUAAGCGGAGGA